Molecule: ribosomal RNA, 250 nt
Filed under: uncultured bacterium
Lineage: Bacteria
Description: partial 16S ribosomal RNA
Rfam family: Bacterial small subunit ribosomal RNA
Source: RNAcentral
UACGAAGGGGCUAGCGUUGUUCGGAAUUACUGGGCGUAAAGCGCGCGCAGGCGGCCAUUCAAGUCAGGGGUGAAAGCCCAGAGCUCAACUCUGGAACUGCCCUUGAAACUGCAUGGCUUGAGUACGAGAGAGGUGAGUGGAAUUCCCAGUGUAGAGGUGAAAUUCGUAGAUAUUGGGAAGAACACCGGUGGCGAAGGCGGCUCACUGGCUCGUUACUGACGCUCAGGCGCGACAGCGUGGGAUCAACAGG